RNAcentral lists this ribosomal RNA (468 nucleotides) under uncultured bacterium. RNAcentral describes it as "partial 16S ribosomal RNA". It matches the Rfam family "Bacterial small subunit ribosomal RNA", at positions 28 to 507 of the family's 1533-position model. The record is from RNAcentral.
GACGGACGCUGGCGGCGUGCUUAACACAUGCAAGUCGAACGGAAAGGCCCUGCUUUUGUGGGGUGCUCGAGUGGCGAACGGGUGAGUAACACGUGAGUAACCUGCCCUUGACUUUGGGAUAACUUCAGGAAACUGGGGCUAAUACCGGAUAGGAGCUCCUGCUGCAUGGUGGGGGUUGGAAAGUUUCGGCGGUUGGGGAUGGACUCGCGGCUUAUCAGCUUGUUGGUGGGGUAGUGGCUUACCAAGGCUUUGACGGGUAGCCGGCCUAAGAGGGUGACCGGCCACAUUGGGACUGAGAUACGGCCCAGACUCCUACGGGAGGCAGCAGUGGGGAAUAUUGCACAAUGGGCGGAAGCCUGAUGCAGCAACGCCGCGUGCGGGAUGACGGCCUUCGGGUUGUAAACCGCUUUCGCCUGUGACGAAGCGUGAGUGACGGUAAUGGGUAAAGAAGCACCGGCUAACUACGUG